AUGACAUGCAGUGUUUGAGCAUGCUCAGUAGAUACAGACUGGCAUCUGGCGCCGAUGAAAAGGUCCUAAGAAUAUUCAAAGCACCUCGUCAGUUCAUGGAGACAUUUCAAGGACUUUGCAAAAUUAAGGAAAACGAUGAGGUGGCUGAUAGUUUGCCUGUAGGAGCGAGUGUACCUGCUCUUGGACUUUCAAACAAAGCUGUCUAUGAAGGUGAGAGACUGAAUGCCGGCAAUUUAGAAAUUUGUAGAUUUUACAAGUUUGCCUUCUUCUUUC
Orbicella faveolata is the source of this 273-nucleotide long non-coding RNA. The record is from RefSeq and is a predicted model, not a curated record. NCBI's taxonomy places the organism in Eukaryota, Metazoa, Cnidaria, Anthozoa, Scleractinia, Merulinidae.